CGCUCCUGCAAAUACUUGUCAACCUGUUUCUUCAGCUCGAAUAGCAGGUCAUCACUGACUGCCUGGAUAUCAAUCUCUAUCUCUCCAUCACCAGCAGUAUCUGUAUUGCUGUCCAUGCAUUGCUGCAGCAGUUCAACGAUGUGAGCAGGUAAAUCAUCGGCUAUUUCUGCCAAUGAAUUCCCAAAGGCUUCUCUCUCAGCAGCUGUCAUCUUCGGCUUUACAGGCUCUGUUUGCCGUAGACCCUCCACUGACACAUCACUGCGGUCCACGGGAGGAGUUUUCCUCCUCUUUGAGUCAGCCUUGUCAACAUCAACAUGCUUCUCAAUGGCUGCAGAAGCCAACUUCUUCUCAACUGUUCUCCAUCUAUUUUCA
This 372-nucleotide long non-coding RNA is filed under the name Setaria italica (foxtail millet). Its description in RNAcentral is "long non-coding RNA (SITA_LNC000541)". Lineage: Eukaryota; Viridiplantae; Streptophyta; Magnoliopsida; Poales; Poaceae. The record is from RNAcentral.